RNAcentral lists this long non-coding RNA (1308 nucleotides) under Gopherus agassizii (Agassiz's desert tortoise). RNAcentral's name for it is "lncRNA (ENSGAGG00000011298.1)". The record is from RNAcentral. Lineage: Eukaryota; Metazoa; Chordata; Testudines; Testudinidae.
ACACCCAGGACCUCUCCAAGUGCGUCACCAAGGGACUUCCUGUGACUUCCACAGCCUCCUCCCUGAGCUGGGCCUUGGCCUCUCCCUGUCUGUGGCCCACAGGCCUCCACGCUGUCCAGACCUGGGUACUGGAACCCAUCGGACCUUGCGUUGCAGUAACUGGUACUAAAGUGCCUGCCCAGCCCAGCUGGGCCUGCCUCCCCCUCAGCAGGAUAACCAAAUCACACACCCUCGCCAGGACCCAGCCUCAUGGGGCUCUGUAGCUGGGCAUUGAGCAAAGGACCGCAAGGCAACUGGUGCAUCUGCUGGAGGAUUGGGGCCAUCAGGCAAGCUUCUCCAGUUGGUACUGCUAGUGCCCAAAGCACCCGCCCCUCAGCCCUGGCGCUCCUUCUCCUGCUGGAACCUUCACCCCGAGUCUGGCCUUAAAGUUCUGAUUGUUUUCUGCCCUGUGCGCCUUGUUUCUGGGUGGGGUGGGGGGGAAGGGUGAGGAUUGAUUGACCCCAGCACUUGGAGCUGCUUGCCUUGUAGAUCCCAGUAUCCCCUGGGUUCACCGGAGUCCUGUUUCCCAUUUGAAGCUUGUCCAGGGCUGGUGGGAAUGCUGGAAUCUCUCUGGGAUGCUUCUGGCUGCAGAAAGGAACCUAGACUGUGUCCUCUUUGCUGACAUGCACUUCCAGUCUUACUGCGGUUUCUAGCCUGUACUGGCAGGGCACUGCUGGGAGGAAGCUCGCAGCACUGAGGUCUCAGCUAGGCACUGAGAGGGCACUGCUGUUGGGAAGCAUGUGGCACCUGCGUCCUCAGCCGGAAACUAACAGCACACUGUUGGGAAGAAGUUUGCAGCACUGGGAAUCGUGACAGGCCACUGCUGAAAGCAGCUCACACUCAUGGUGCUGCUAUAAAGCUCGAGCCGCAGAGCCGCUGCCAGUUCCUGAUUCCUGGAUUGUCGAGAGCCCUGCGGGCUAAAGGGAGGUGCAGCCCCAUCGAGCAAGGCAGAGCCCGAGCCCGAGCCCGAGCCUGGUGCUGGGACACCCGGGGCCAAGCCCCCACCCCACCACCUGCCAUGAAGCCCCGAAGCCUGGGCACAGCUGCCCUGCGGCUGGGUCUAGGGCUGCUGCUGCUGCUGGCCACAGGUGAGUGGCACCUGGAGCCGGAUCGGACUCACUCUGGGCUGCGCAGGGGGUUGGGGGAGUCAUGGCGUGAGGACGGCGGAGGACCCAGGGCAGGUUUCUGUCCGUUCCCUAGAAGGAUCCGUGGGGUGGGGCCAUGGCUCAGCAGGUCGGGCAGCCCCAGGGCCUCGCUGCCUUUAGCCGC